This 422-nucleotide ribosomal RNA is filed under the name uncultured bacterium. RNAcentral describes it as "partial 16S ribosomal RNA". It matches the Rfam family "Bacterial small subunit ribosomal RNA", at positions 361 to 775 of the family's 1533-position model. The record is from RNAcentral.
AUCUUCCACAAUGGACGAAAGUCUGAUGGAGCAACGCCGCGUGAGCGAAGAAGGUUUNNNGAUCGNACAGCUCUGUUGUGAGGNAAGNACAAGUACAGGAGUAACUGUCUGUACCUUGACGGUACCUCAUUAGAAAGCCACGGCUAACUACGUGCCAGCAGCCGCGGUAAUACGUAGGUGGCAAGCGUUGUCCGGAAUUAUUGGGCGUAAAGCGCGCGCAGGCGGCCUUUUAAGUCUGAUGUGAAAGCCCACGGCUUAACCGUGGAAGGUCAUUGGAAACUGAAAGGCUUGAGGACAGAAGAGAAAAGCGGAAUUCCACGUGUAGCGGUGAAAUGCGUAGAGAUGUGGAGGAACACCAGUGGCGAAGGCGGCUUUUUGGUCUGUAACUGACGCUGAGGCGCGAAAGCGUGGGGAGCAAACAG